UGUGUGUCUGUAAAUACAGCGGCUCUGGCGAGUCACAGACACAUGGGUGGUGAGCAGAGAGGGGGGCUGGCUGCGGCCGGAGAAGGCCCUGCCUUGCCCCAGUGAUCGCUGCUGCAGCGAGGGUUAGUGUUUGCAGGACACACACAGGAAGGGGCUGGAGCAGCUGGGAGGAGCGAGGAGGAACUGGGGAGAACAAAGGACCGAGACCAGGUAUUGUUACAAGCCGCUGCUCCCAGCAGGAGCAGCUGUUGAUUCCCCAGCUGGGGAGAGACCAGCAUUCAAGCUUCUUGUGUCUCCAGCUGAAGUGGGGGGAAGUUUCUCCAGCUGGAGCCAGCCCAUAGGGCAACCCUGGGCUCUGCAGACCCCAAGCCUGAGCCGGAGACUCCAGGGAGAAUCUACUUCUUGGCCUUUCCCAUCUAAUAACUGGACGAUUGCUUGAUUAGCCUUAUCCACAUCAUUUGUAAUUUAGAUAAGCUGCAUGUGUUUCAACGAUCACAGGAUCUUCUCCUUCCCAGAGGCUA
Long non-coding RNA from Chelonia mydas (Green sea turtle), 521 nucleotides. RefSeq lists it as uncharacterized. The transcript is spliced from 3 exons. The record is from RefSeq and is a predicted model, not a curated record. Lineage: Eukaryota; Metazoa; Chordata; Testudines; Cheloniidae.